Molecule: transfer RNA, 61 nt
Filed under: Purohita sinica
Lineage: Eukaryota; Metazoa; Arthropoda; Insecta; Hemiptera; Delphacidae
Description: tRNA-His
Source: RNAcentral
AUUGUGUUAGUUUAAAAAAAAUUUCAUUCUGUGAAAAUGGAGAUUCUUACUGGACAUAAUA